GAUGAACGCUGGCGGCGUGCCUAAUACAUGCAAGUCGAGCGAACAGACGAGGAGCUUGUACCUCUGACGUGAGCGGCGGACGGGUGAGUAACGCGUGGAUAACCUACCUUUAAGCGGGGGAUAACUUCGGGAAACGGAUGCUAAUACCGCAUAAAAAAUUUAACCGCAAGGUUCAAUAGUGAAAGAUGGUUUUGCUGCACCUAAUGAAGGUACCGCGUCCCAUUAAGUAUUUGGUAAGGUAAAGGCUUACCAAGGCAAAGAAGCGUAGCCGACCUGAGAGGGUGAUCGGCCCCACUGGAACUGGACCACGGUCCAGACUCCUACGGGAGGCAGCAGUAGGGAAUCUUCCGCAAUGGGCGAAAGCCUGACGGAGCAACGCCGCGGGAGUGAGGAAGGUCUUCGGACCUUAAACCUCUGUUAUUAGGGAAGAAGAAAUGUGUAAGUAACUAUGCACGUCUUGACGGUACCUAAUCAGAAAGCCACGGCUAACUACGUG
This 496-nucleotide ribosomal RNA is filed under the name uncultured bacterium. Its description in RNAcentral is "partial 16S ribosomal RNA". It matches the Rfam family "Bacterial small subunit ribosomal RNA", at positions 28 to 507 of the family's 1533-position model. The record is from RNAcentral.